RNAcentral lists this ribosomal RNA (2904 nucleotides) under Escherichia coli STEC_94C. RNAcentral describes it as "bacterial LSU rRNA". It matches the Rfam family "Bacterial large subunit ribosomal RNA". The record is from RNAcentral. Lineage: Bacteria; Pseudomonadati; Pseudomonadota; Gammaproteobacteria; Enterobacterales; Enterobacteriaceae.
UUAAGCGACUAAGCGUACACGGUGGAUGCCCUGGCAGUCAGAGGCGAUGAAGGACGUGCUAAUCUGCGAUAAGCGUCGGUAAGGUGAUAUGAACCGUUAUAACCGGCGAUUUCCGAAUGGGGAAACCCAGUGUGAUUCGUCACACUAUCAUUAACUGAAUCCAUAGGUUAAUGAGGCGAACCGGGGGAACUGAAACAUCUAAGUACCCCGAGGAAAAGAAAUCAACCGAGAUUCCCCCAGUAGCGGCGAGCGAACGGGGAGCAGCCCAGAGCCUGAAUCAGUGUGUGUGUUAGUGGAAGCGUCUGGAAAGGCGCGCGAUACAGGGUGACAGCCCCGUACACAAAAAUGCACAUGCUGUGAGCUCGAUGAGUAGGGCGGGACACGUGGUAUCCUGUCUGAAUAUGGGGGGACCAUCCUCCAAGGCUAAAUACUCCUGACUGACCGAUAGUGAACCAGUACCGUGAGGGAAAGGCGAAAAGAACCCCGGCAGGGGAGUGAAAAAGAACCUGAAAACCGUGUACGUACAAGCAGUGGGAGCACAGAGCAAUCUGUGUGACUGCGUACCUUUUGUAUAAUGGGUCAGCGACUUAUAUUCUGUAGCAAGGUUAACCGAAUAGGGGAGCCGAAGGGAAACCGAGUCUUAACUGGGCGUUAAGUUGCAGGGUAUAGACCCGAAACCCGGUGAUCUAGCCAUGGGCAGGUUGAAGGUUGGGUAACACUAACUGGAGGACCGAACCGACUAAUGUUGAAAAAUUAGCGGAUGACUUGUGGCUGGGGGUGAAAGGCCAAUCAAACCGGGAGAUAGCUGGUUCUCCCCGAAAGCUAUUUAGGUAGCGCCUCGUGAAUUCAUCUCCGGGGGUAGAGCACUGUUUCGGCAAGGGGGUCAUCCCGACUUACCAACCCGAUGCAAACUGCGAAUACCGGAGAAUGUUAUCACGGGAGACACACGGCGGGUGCUAACGUCCGUCGUGAAGAGGGAAACAACCCAGACCGCCAGCUAAGGUCCCAAAGUCAUGGUUAAGUGGGAAACGAUGUGGGAAGGCCCAGACAGCCAGGAUGUUGGCUUAGAAGCAGCCAUCAUUUAAAGAAAGCGUAAUAGCUCACUGGUCGAGUCGGCCUGCGCGGAAGAUGUAACGGGGCUAAACCAUGCACCGAAGCUGCGGCAGCGACGCUUAUGCGUUGUUGGGUAGGGGAGCGUUCUGUAAGCCUGCGAAGGUGUGCUGUGAGGCAUGCUGGAGGUAUCAGAAGUGCGAAUGCUGACAUAAGUAACGAUAAAGCGGGUGAAAAGCCCGCUCGCCGGAAGACCAAGGGUUCCUGUCCAACGUUAAUCGGGGCAGGGUGAGUCGACCCCUAAGGCGAGGCCGAAAGGCGUAGUCGAUGGGAAACAGGUUAAUAUUCCUGUACUUGGUGUUACUGCGAAGGGGGGACGGAGAAGGCUAUGUUGGCCGGGCGACGGUUGUCCCGGUUUAAGCGUGUAGGCUGGUUUUCCAGGCAAAUCCGGAAAACUAAGGCUGAGGCGUGAUGACGAGGCACUACGGUGCUGAAGCAACAAAUGCCCUGCUUCCAGGAAAAGCCUCUAAGCAUCAGGUAACAUCAAAUCGUACCCCAAACCGACACAGGUGGUCAGGUAGAGAAUACCAAGGCGCUUGAGAGAACUCGGGUGAAGGAACUAGGCAAAAUGGUGCCGUAACUUCGGGAGAAGGCACGCUGAUAUGUAGGUGAAGCGACUUGCUCGUGGAGCUGAAAUCAGUCGAAGAUACCAGCUGGCUGCAACUGUUUAUUAAAAACACAGCACUGUGCAAACACGAAAGUGGACGUAUACGGUGUGACGCCUGCCCGGUGCCGGAAGGUUAAUUGAUGGGGUCAGCGCAAGCGAAGCUCUUGAUCGAAGCCCCGGUAAACGGCGGCCGUAACUAUAACGGUCCUAAGGUAGCGAAAUUCCUUGUCGGGUAAGUUCCGACCUGCACGAAUGGCGUAAUGAUGGCCAGGCUGUCUCCACCCGAGACUCAGUGAAAUUGAACUCGCUGUGAAGAUGCAGUGUACCCGCGGCAAGACGGAAAGACCCCGUGAACCUUUACUAUAGCUUGACACUGAACAUUGAGCCUUGAUGUGUAGGAUAGGUGGGAGGCUUGGAAGUGUGGACGCCAGUCUGCAUGGAGCCGACCUUGAAAUACCACCCUUUAAUGUUUGAUGUUCUAACGUUGACCCGUAAUCCGGGUUGCGGACAGUGUCUGGUGGGUAGUUUGACUGGGGCGGUCUCCUCCUAAAGAGUAACGGAGGAGCACGAAGGUUGGCUAAUCCUGGUCGGACAUCAGGAGGUUAGUGCAAUGGCAUAAGCCAGCUUGACUGCGAGCGUGACGGCGCGAGCAGGUGCGAAAGCAGGUCAUAGUGAUCCGGUGGUUCUGAAUGGAAGGGCCAUCGCUCAACGGAUAAAAGGUACUCCGGGGAUAACAGGCUGAUACCGCCCAAGAGUUCAUAUCGACGGCGGUGUUUGGCACCUCGAUGUCGGCUCAUCACAUCCUGGGGCUGAAGUAGGUCCCAAGGGUAUGGCUGUUCGCCAUUUAAAGUGGUACGCGAGCUGGGUUUAGAACGUCGUGAGACAGUUCGGUCCCUAUCUGCCGUGGGCGCUGGAGAACUGAGGGGGGCUGCUCCUAGUACGAGAGGACCGGAGUGGACGCAUCACUGGUGUUCGGGUUGUCAUGCCAAUGGCACUGCCCGGUAGCUAAAUGCGGAAGAGAUAAGUGCUGAAAGCAUCUAAGCACGAAACUUGCCCCGAGAUGAGUUCUCCCUGACUCCUUGAGAGUCCUGAAGGAACGUUGAAGACGACGACGUUGAUAGGCCGGGUGUGUAAGCGCAGCGAUGCGUUGAGCUAACCGGUACUAAUGAACCGUGAGGCUUAACCUU